ACACGAACCGUCCGAACGUUAUUCGGAAUCACUGGGCUUAAAGGGUGCGUAGGCGGUGCGGUAAGUUGGGUGUGAAAUCCCUCGGCUCAACCGAGGAACUGCGCCCAAUACUGCCGUACUUGAGGGAGACAGAGGUAAGCGGAACUGAUGGUGGAGCGGUGAGAUGCGUUGAUAUCAUCGGGAACACCGGUGGCGAAAGCGGCUUACUGGGUCUCUUCUGACGCUGAGGCACGAAAGCUAGGGGAGCGAACGGGAUUAGAAACCCUUGUAGUCC
This 274-nucleotide ribosomal RNA is filed under the name uncultured bacterium. RNAcentral describes it as "partial 16S ribosomal RNA". It matches the Rfam family "Bacterial small subunit ribosomal RNA", at positions 523 to 796 of the family's 1533-position model. The record is from RNAcentral.